UAGGGAAUAUUAGAAAUGGACGAAAGUCUGAUCUAGCAACACCGCGUGUGCGAAGAAGGCCUUCGGGUCGUAAAGCACUUUUUGGAAGGAAUAGGAAGGAAUGUACUUCCAGAAUAAGUCUCGGCUAACUACGUGCCAGCAGCCGCGGUAACACGUAGGAGGCGAACGUUAUCCGGAUUUACUGGGCGUACAGCGCGUGUAGGUGGUUCUGUAAGUAGGGCGUGAAAGCUCCUGGCUCAACUGGGAGAGGCCGUUCUAAACUACAGAGCUAGAGGAUGGUAGAGGGAGGUGGAAUUCCAGGUGUAGCGGGGGAAUGCGCAGAUAUCUGGAGGAACACCAGUGGCGAAGGCGGCCUCCUGGACCAUUCCUGACACUCAGACGCGAAAGCUAGGGUAGCAAACG
Molecule: ribosomal RNA, 402 nt
Filed under: uncultured prokaryote
Description: bacterial SSU rRNA
Rfam family: Bacterial small subunit ribosomal RNA
Source: RNAcentral